Molecule: long non-coding RNA, 4282 nt
Organism: Prosopis cineraria
Lineage: Eukaryota; Viridiplantae; Streptophyta; Magnoliopsida; Fabales; Fabaceae
Exons: 2
Source: RefSeq, a predicted model, not a curated record
GCGAAAUUCUCCAGUCAUGUAUGGCACUCCUUAAGUUGGGCUAGUCAUAUGCAAAGAACGAGCCCAACGCCUGUCAUCGCACGCAACCUCAAGGAGAACGGUGGCCGAAAAAAAAAAACAAGACAAAGGCUCUGGGGGAAAAAAAAGGACAAAGGCGAAUGGACGUUCACUUUCCCCGUGAUCUUCUGCCUACACGGUCACACGCUUUCCGGUGCUAUUGUUGAUGUUAUUGAAAUCAGAAAUUCUGAUACUUAGAAUACCCUACAUACGCGGUUUUAGUGGUUGCUCUCCAUUUUUUUGUGCUCUCAUUUUAAUACGUUGGUUCGGGUAUCGGUCAAGUGCUUUGUUAGAGCUGGCAAUUUUUAUUUAUCAGAAAAGAAGUCUAGUGGCUGGUUACCAGGGGUACAGAGCUGCAAGGAAAUAAGUUCUGUACGGGAGACAACAGGAUAGAAAUGCAUUUAAAUUUAUUUCCGAGCGCAACAAAGUCACGACUAAUAGCAUAACCAGAGUUCGUGGUUUUAAUACCGCGUCAGGGGAAGCGCAAAUGGACUCAGUUAUUCGAAUGCUUAGCGCAAUUCAUAUCUUUAACCUUUAAUAAGGUAUGAUCUGUUUCUUUUGUUUUCAGCUUCUAUUAUCUAUGCUGGGGUUCUUAUAAUUCGUUUUCCUAUUUUGCGUUCCUUUACAAUUACUGAGAACUGUUGAUGCGCAGCCGGCAUCUUUCGCAUGAUUCGUUGUCCUUCAAGUUUUCAAACACUUAGUGGGGUGAGUUGUGCAUUAGAACUUUUUCACAUCCUCGAGCUUACCAGUCAUUGUCUCUUCUUUUAUCACUGCUUCCUCCUGUGCUAAUUUUGUUUCGUUGCUAGUGCUGUGUUUGGAAGUAAUUACUGUACUUGCUGAUUUAUUAAGCUUACACAAGGGCCUCAUAAUUUCAGUAUCCAUUAUGUUAUCUUGAUUUCAUUCCUGUGAGCUGUGAAUUAAUUUUUUUUAAUGCCCCUCCAGAAAUUCUGAUAUUACUGGCUGCUAUUUGAAGGUAUUUGAUUCAACGAGAUUUAUUUUUUUUUAAAGUACGGAAUCUUUAGUGUCUCAUUCUUUGUUGAUGGUAGUCUCUAUAUAAUGGCCUAAAAUCAAUUUUUAACUGUAGAGUGAAUGAACAAAUUGGUCUUACCCUAUCCUCGAUUUCUAUGUUUUAGAGUUCCCUAUACAAUUUACAAAAAAGGAAAAUUAUCUUUACAGAAUGUUGGAUUGGCCUUUCCACCAUUAAAGGAACUAAGAAGUGAAAUGACAGUAAUUAUCAAUCUGUCUGAUUGGAGUUUUUUGGGUGAGGAUUUUUGCAUCAAGUUUGGCUAGUGGGUUCCCUUAUUCCCGACAUUUUCAGUUGAGUCAUAGGAGAGAUAUAGGUCCUUGUUAUUUUCUCAUAGCAGUUUUUCUUUUGGUUAUUUGUUUGUGUAUGGUCUGGCUCUAAGAAUUGUCAUUAUGGUUUUUCGUCCAAUUUCUCUUCCGGCUGUCUUUAUAAGCCAUGAUUGCAUCGAUUUUCAAGAAAAUCAGAAUUUUUGUACUAGAGUUCAGACGUUUCCUGUUUAUUUGCAUUAAUCAUGUGAGGCCAUAUUAUCUUGGCAUGACAAUGGACUAUGUUAAUAAAUUUUUGUUUGCUUUCUAGUCCUUCAUGUUCUAGGCUUUAACUGUGCAAAUGAAAAUCAAAUGCCUAGUUGGCUAUGUCAUAGUUUGUAGUAAGUUACAUGAGGCUUCUGCAAGAUGAUGACAUUACAAAGAUUAUUCCUGCAUUAGUGUUGAAGUGUGUAUCCAAAUGUUAGGGUCAUAAAUAGUCAUAUGAUGAAUUGAAACCAUCUAAGUGUUUUGUUAGUGAACUUUUUCAUGGUAACAUCCUAUUUUGCUGCCUCAAGUGCAUCACGUUAUCAAAUCUCAUUUCUUACUUGACAUGUUGAACAAAAUAUUCUUGGACUCAACGAAAGAGACUUAGACAGUGGGCAGUUGCUCAUAUAGGGUAAAUUCUAUGCCAUUACAUGUAUCUAUCAUCUUGAAGAUAAUUCUUUGGUGUAUUUUGCACCAAGUUUAAAUAGUAGUCAGUGAUGAUGUCUUAUCAUGUUAUUGUUGUUGUCUUGAUUGGGACCUCAUUCAUGAUAAGGUCACAUCUUUUGGGACUUAUUUAUAGUACACGUUCAUCUCUUACUUGACAUAUUGAACAGAAUAUUCUUGGACUCAACAAAAGAGACUUAAACAAUGAGCAGUUGCGCAUAUAGGGUAAAUUUUAUCCCUUUAGAUGCACCUAUCAUUUUGAAGAUGAUUCUUUAUUGUAUUUUGCACCAGGUUGAAGUGAUCUUCAGUAAUGAUAUCUCAUCAUAUUAUUGCUGUUGACUUGCUUUUCCUUAUUCAUUUGGUGGGCAUAGCUUGGGUGAGUCAAUAAUAUACAUCAGUUGUCUUGUGAGUCAUAUGCUUGGAUGUUGUAAUAGAUAUUCUCAUCCUAAUAUGUUCUCAUGUAGGGGUUUGGUCUUAUAAUAUCUCUGAUAUGUAAGCCUUAACUUAAAAAAAUAGACACAUUUAUGGUUUGUUGCUGAAAUUUUUAAUAUUUCACCAACAUCGUAUUUAAUAUUCCAAAGCAAGUUGUCUAUUGCUCAUACACUAUCAAGCUCGCUGUGUUCCUUAAUUGUCAUUUCUAAAAUUGUCAAGAGUCCUCCUCCUCUCCAAUGGAGGAUGCUAAGCAGUUUCACCUUCCAUGCUCGCGGUCUUCUCAUUAUGUAAAAUUUAUUUGGUAAAUUUCGUAAAGUUUUAAUGGAGUCUUUGACCUCAUUCUUGCUUCUUUACAUUGUUGUUUAAAUUGAAUGAUCAUGAUUUGUGAAAAGCAAAAGUGAUACCGGCGUCAAGUUAUGAAAAUUUCAUAGCAUGUUGUCUAUAGUUUUUCUUGAGAUUUGUGCCUCAACGUCACUUUUUAAAAUUAUUCUUGUUGAGUGAUUUAAUUCUCAUGGAGUAGUUCUAAACAAAAUAUAUUGUUGAAAUGGACCUUGAGUGGUGUGAAGGGAGAUCCUGUCCAUUCUUUGCAAAAAAUGUCUUUUGGGGUUUUGUUGAAAUGUAUAGAAGGUGGAGGGUGAGGGUUCUUGUGACAUGAGGAAAUGACGACUUGAGGAGUUGACAAACCAAUUGUUUCUACUCAAGGAAUUUCUCACAGAUUAUCAGGUGGUCUAUAGCAAUUCUUGGAUUGCUUAUGCAGUAUGCACUAUCGAGCUCUGUGCAUUCCUUUGUUGUUAUUUCUAAAACUGUCAAGAGAUCUUGUCCUCUCCUAUCUAAGCAACACAUUACUACCCUGGAGGAUGCCAUGGUUUAAGAUUUGGCGGUUUCACCUUCCAUGCUCACAAUCUACAUUCUCAUUCUUGGUUUGCUUUUUUAUUUAAAUUGAAUGAUUCAUGUUUUGUGUGGAGUGAAUGCGAUACUGUGUUGAAAACUUCUAAAAAUUCAUGGUAUACUAUCUAUUGUUUUUCUUGAGAUUUUUGCCUUAUCCUCACUUUUCGAUGUUAUUCCUAUAGAUUGAUUUAAUUCUUGUGGAGUAGUUCCAAACAAAAUGUCUGGCUGAAAUAGACCUCAAGGGUGUGAAGGGAGAUCCAGUCUUAUCUAUGCGAUUGACUUCUUUUGGGUUUUGAUGAUAUGAUUAGAGGGUGGAGGGUGAGGGUUCUUGUGACAUGAGGAAAUGGCAAUUCGAACAGGUGACGAGCCAAUUGUUUUUACUCUUGGGAUUUCUCAUGGAUUACUGGAUGGUCCAUAGCAGUUCUUGGAUUGGUCAUGUACCAUCAAGCUCUGUGCAUUGCUUUAUUGUCAUUUCUAAAACUGUCAAGAGACCUCAUCCUCUCCUAUCUAAGCAACGUAUCACUACCUUGGAGGAUGUUAUAGUUUAAGAUUUAGAACUCAUCCUACAAAAAUUUCAUCCAAUACUAUCUUUAAUUUUUCUUUAGAUUUACACCUCAUCCUCAUUUGUUAUUGUUGUUCUUAUCGAGUGAUUUAAUUCUUGGGGACAGAUGAAUGUAAAUUGCUUUAGCUCCAUACAAAAUGUUUGGCUGAAAUGGACUGAGUGGUUUGAUGGAAUUUCUCAUCUUAUCUAUGAUGAAAUGUAUGGAUUGUAGAGGGUGAAUGUUGUUAUGACUUGAGGAAAUGGCGUUCAAGUAGUUGAUGAACCGAUUAUUCCUACUUUAGGGAAAUCUCACAAAUUAGCAGCUUGCCUCUAGCACUUCUUGGAUGGCUUAUGAAAUAAAUAGCUUUGUGCAUUCCCUUAUUAUGA